UAACACGUAGGGGGCGAGCGUUGUUCGGAAUUACUGGGCGUAAAGGGCAUGUAGGCGGUUCUGUAAGCCUGACGUGAAAGGCUAUGGCUCAACCAUGGCACUGCGUUGGGAACUGCGGGACUUGAAUCAUGGAGAGGGAGCUGGAAUUCCAGGUGUAGGGGUGAAAUCUGUAGAUAUCUGGAAGAACACCAGUGGCGAAGGCGAGCUCCUGGCCAAUGAUUGACGCUGAGGUGCGAAAGUGUGGGGAUCAAACAGGAUUAGAGACCCUGGUAGUCCACACUGUCAACGAUGUGCACUAGGUGCUGGGGCGGACGCUUCAGUGCCGGAGCUAACGCGGUAAGUGCACCGCCUGGGGAGUAUGCUCGCAAGGGUGAAACUUAAAUGAAUUGACGG
RNAcentral lists this ribosomal RNA (393 nucleotides) under uncultured bacterium. RNAcentral's name for it is "bacterial SSU rRNA". It matches the Rfam family "Bacterial small subunit ribosomal RNA", at positions 521 to 916 of the family's 1533-position model. The record is from RNAcentral.